GACGAACGCUGGCGGCGUGCUUAACACAUGCAAGUCGAACGGAAAGGCCCUGCUUUUGUGGGGUGCUCGAGUGGCGAACGGGUGAGUAACACGUGAGUAACCUGCCCUUGACUUUGGGAUAACUUCAGGAAACUGGGGCUAAUACCGGAUAGGAGCACCUGCUGCAUGGUGGGGGUUGGAAAGUUUCGGCGGUUGUGGAUGGACUCGCGGCUUAUCAGCUUGUUGGUGGGGUAGUGGCUUACCAAGGCUUUGACGGGUAGCCGGCCUGAGAGGGUGACCGGCCACAUUGGGACUGAGACACGGCCCAGACUCCUACGGGAGGCAGCAGUGGGGAAUAUUGCACAAUGGGCGGAAGCCUGAUGCAGCAACGCCGCGUGCGGGAUGACGGCCUUCGGGUUGUAAACCGCUUUCGCCUGUGACGAAGCGUGAGUGACGGUAAUGGGUAAAGAAGCACCGGCUAACUACGUG
Molecule: ribosomal RNA, 468 nt
Filed under: uncultured bacterium
Lineage: Bacteria
Description: partial 16S ribosomal RNA
Rfam family: Bacterial small subunit ribosomal RNA
Source: RNAcentral